Molecule: long non-coding RNA, 2074 nt
Filed under: Helianthus annuus (common sunflower)
Lineage: Eukaryota; Viridiplantae; Streptophyta; Magnoliopsida; Asterales; Asteraceae
Description: hypothetical non coding rna
Source: RNAcentral
UUUUCAGUUUCCUUCUGCUUCAGUGUCGCCAACCUUUCCAUAUCUCUUGAACUCUCCCUCUCAUCCAUACUUUUUUUAUUUAUUUAUUUUUCCCCUAUAAUAAUAAUAAUAAUAAUAAUAAGGCUCUGCCUCGUUUUAAGUGUUUUAACUCCCGAUCACCGCUACCCUUUCCGAUUGAUCUGAGUCCCAUAACGCAUGUCAAGGCUCUGCCCGACUAAGUUCGUUUGGAUUCUAUCUCGGGACUUCGGGACAAGGUUGAAUUAAGGGUACUAUACUUAACACAAGUGCAUUAUAUUUUUUUUAGCCCAAAAGUUAUACCCAAAAUUUAUAUCAGGAGGUUUUCUAGUUGAACCCUAAAGUUACACAGUGGGUCCAUUCCUUUUUCCCACCAUUUUAUUCCCUUUUUGUAAGUUAUCCAAAACUAUUAUUUAUUAUUUAUUUCUAUUUUGUAAACAAACUUUCAUCAAAAGUCAUGCCUAUUAUUUUAUUUACCUAAUAGGGAACCAUAGUUGAGACACCCAAGUAAUCCUGCACAACUCCUAAAAUUUUCGUAGCAAUCAGAAUCAGGAUCAGGGCCCCUAAAACUCAGGGGGGGGGGGGUAAACCCUAGUUGAUAAUUAUCAACUAAAUUCGUUGUACAGAUUCUAAAUUGAUUUUAAAAUGAGUCAGCAAAGCUAGUCCCGAAACCAGCUAGGCUAGGUAAAUAGACUACACCCUUUACGGACCGUAAGGGUAAGUCCUUACGGACCGUAAGCCUAUCGGUUUCCUUUACGGACCGUAAGGGUUAAGUCAUACGGUCCGUAAGGGAGUCCCAAAAUUCACUAUAAAUAGCAGACAUUGGCAGUAGCUUUCUGAAGUUGAAACGACAUAAAUUGGUGGCCUGUACGUCGAAUUAGAGCUAUAAUACUACACACACUGCACUCGAAUCGCUGCCGCAGAACAGGGUAAUUACUCGAUCGCUAUUACGAUUCAUUUUCCGAGAUCAAUAUAUCCAAAGAAUGUUUAAGUGCCGCCCAUAUUAGGGUGAUACUUUGUCGUUCGUCGUUAAUUCGAUGAAUGUUUAAGUAUCGCACUUUGUCGUUCGUUGUGAGAAUUUGAUCUCGUGAGUUAUCGUAAAAGCUGUAUUGAUCAUUAACCCGGUUCUUGUGAAAUUCAUUAAGGUUCGAAUCUCAUGACUACCGUUAAGGUUGAUUUGGGUUUUACACCAAUACGUAUUCCAUUCUGUUAAACCACCAAAAAUACUCCCAACUACACCCUUACAAUCAAACAAACUAUUAAAUCAUCAGAAGAUCCAGAAUAAUAAAGUGCAUGCUUAAUUAUCGGAAGAAAUAAAAUCAAGAAGUUGUUAACUCAAUCCUGCAUGCUGAUUUGUAAUUACAGUAGAUUGGAGUAAGGAUUGGAUCCGGCACUAAAAGACUUCAAGAAGUGGCUUAUUUUAUUAAUUAAAUCAAAUUAAGAAAUAUUGUUUUUUUUUUAUUAAAAGCUACCUUUGUAAAACAUGGAAUUUAUUCCAUCUAUUUAAAUAAAAUCCGGUGUUUCUAAACUCUGAUAUUUUGCCUAACUCAUGGUCCUGAUGAAAUUUCCGCUGCAAUGUUUUUCAAAAUAAUCACCGGUACCACUGGACUGAUCGCGACUUCCGAUUCCGGCCAGGAUGGGAUCGGGGGUCGUGUCACGGAACAUCCAAUAUAUGUGAAGAGGAAGGACAUUAUGAAAAGAUCACAUCAUCAUUAAAGAAGUGGCCACGACUGCAAACAACAAAAGAAAUAGACAUAUUGAAUUGUGGCGUACGGAUUCAACAUGGGACUUACGGCGCGAAACAAAAGCAUGCACGUGAUUUUUUUAGGUGGACUUCUUGGACUCUCGAUAUUGGGCAGCCAUAAUUAAUAAUUGUGGGCUCUCAAAACAAAACAACAUCACCAUCCUUCAUCAUGAUUUAUUAGAGGCCACAUAACACACUAGGUGGGCUUUUAGUGAAUAAUUAACAUCAUCAUUGUUUUGGUCAAAAAUCAAGCUAAGAUAAUGCAACCAAAUCUUUUGAUGUGAGGUGUGAUGCUUGAAUCAAUGAACAAUAUUA